RNAcentral lists this ribosomal RNA (253 nucleotides) under uncultured bacterium. Its description in RNAcentral is "partial 16S ribosomal RNA". It matches the Rfam family "Bacterial small subunit ribosomal RNA", at positions 524 to 776 of the family's 1533-position model. The record is from RNAcentral.
UACGAAGGGGGCUAGCGUUGUUCGGAAUCACUGGGCGUAAAGGGCGCGUAGGCGGUCCGCUAAGUUGGAUGUGAAAACUCUGGGCUCAACCCAGAGCCUGCAUCCAAAACUGGCGGGCUAGAGUUCUGGAGGGGGUAGCGGAAUUCCUGGUGUAGCGGUGAAAUGCGCAGAUAUCAGGAGGAACACCAAUGGCGAAGGCAGCUCGCUGGAACGGUACUGACGCUGAGGCGCGAAAGCGUGGGGAGCAAACAGG